RNAcentral lists this ribosomal RNA (439 nucleotides) under uncultured bacterium. RNAcentral describes it as "partial 16S ribosomal RNA". It matches the Rfam family "Bacterial small subunit ribosomal RNA", at positions 338 to 795 of the family's 1533-position model. The record is from RNAcentral.
CCUACGGGUGGCAGCAGUGGGGAAUAUUGGACAAUGGGGGGAACCCUGAUCCAGCGACGCCGCGUGAGUGAAGAAGUAUUUCGUUAUGUAAAGCUCUAUCAGCAGGGAAGAAAAUGACGGUACCUUACUAAGAAGCCCCGGCUAACUACGUGCCAGCAGCCGCGGUAAUACGUAGGGGGCAAGCGUUAUCCGGAUUUACUGGGGGUAAAGGGAUCGUAGACGGUGCAGCAAGUCGGAUGUGAAAGGACGGGCCCAACCCCGGGACGGCAUUGGAAACUGUUGAACUGGAGUACAGGAGAGGUAAGCGGAAGUCCUAGUGUAGCGGUGAAAUGCGUAGAUAUUAGGAGGAACACCAGUGGCGAAGGCGGCUUACUGGACUGUAACUGACGUUGAGGCUCGAAAGCGUGGGGAGCAAACAGGAUUAGAUACCCGAGUAGUC